CCUACGGGAGGCUGCAGUGGGGAAUAUUGGACAAUGGGGGGAACCCUGAUCCAGCCAUGCCGCGUGUGUGAAGAAGGCCCUCGGGUUGUAAAGCACUUUCAGUGAGGAAGAACGCCUGGUGGUUAAUACCCAUCAGGAAAGACAUCACUCACAGAAGAAGCACCGGCUAACUCCGUGCCAGCAGCCGCGGUAAUACGGAGGGUGCGAGCGUUAAUCGGAAUUACUGGGCGUAAAGCGCGCGUAGGUGGCUUGAUAAGCCGGUUGUGAAAGCCCCGGGCUCAACCUGGGAACGGCAUCCGGAACUGUCAAGCUAGAGUGCAGGAGAGGAAGGUGGAAUUCCCGGUGUAGCGGUGAAAUGCGUAGAGAUCGGGAGGAAUACCAGUGGCGAAGGCGGCCUUCUGGACUGACACUGACACUGAGGUGCGAAAGCGUGGGUAGCAAACAGGAUUAGAUACCCGAGUAGUC
This 465-nucleotide ribosomal RNA is filed under the name Vreelandella stevensii. Its description in RNAcentral is "partial 16S ribosomal RNA". It matches the Rfam family "Bacterial small subunit ribosomal RNA", at positions 338 to 795 of the family's 1533-position model. Lineage: Bacteria; Pseudomonadati; Pseudomonadota; Gammaproteobacteria; Oceanospirillales; Halomonadaceae. The record is from RNAcentral.